This 324-nucleotide unclassified non-coding RNA is filed under the name Hevea brasiliensis (rubber tree). The record is from RNAcentral. Lineage: Eukaryota; Viridiplantae; Streptophyta; Magnoliopsida; Malpighiales; Euphorbiaceae.
AUAAAGCACAAAUCCAUAUGCUGCUAUCUUCACUAAAAUCAAUCUGCAUAGAUAACCAUCGAGGAACAUACCACAGCUAAUGGAAAUAAGAGCAUAGAAUAAAUCUCAAUGCCGCAAAACGUGGAACUAAUUGAUAAAUGUUGUCACGUUAGUUCAUUAUUAUGUGCAGAUCUCAGAAUUUAGAUCCUCUAGAUAUACAAAGAUUCAUCCACAUUGGGUUCCCUUCAGGCCAAUGAUAAAUAACAUGAAGGUUGAACUGUUUUACUUCAAAAAACAAAAAAUAGAAGAAAGGAAGUCUGACCUGACUAUAUUGCAAAAAACAAU